Long non-coding RNA from Athene cunicularia (burrowing owl), 16433 nucleotides. RefSeq lists it as uncharacterized. The record is from RefSeq and is a predicted model, not a curated record. The transcript is spliced from 2 exons. NCBI's taxonomy places the organism in Eukaryota, Metazoa, Chordata, Aves, Strigiformes, Strigidae.
UUUGUUUAUUACACUAAGACACAUGUUUAUGCAUGUAGACUUAUUUUCUCGCCUGGGAAGCUGUACAAUAGUAUAAACCUAUAUAUAGGUUUAUACUGUUAGGUAGUUUAUAUUAUUAGGUAGUUUACACUAUUAUAGGUAUAUAUAAAACCAGACUAACUUUUCUGUCUGUACAGAAAAUUACUGUUCUAGCACAAGUGUGCUUGAGUAAAAACAUCAUGAAUUAUAUCAGUGGUCAAAUGAGGCCUCAAAAAUCAGUUAUUCCUCACCCAGAAAGUUGGAUUCAAGUGUAAGCCAAGUCAUGAGAGCAUAUAUAAUUCCUACAGAUGUUUGCUGUAUUAAGAAGCAAUGGGCCAUAUGUACAGUCUUGCAAAUUUUAAGUGGGAGAGAAACUUCGUAUGAAAAUGCUAAUUGUAAUCACAGCCUAAAAUGUGUGCUGCCAGAAGCCUUUAGUAAUCACACUCAGCCUCUCGCCUUCUUGCUCCAUACUCAUGCACAGAUCCUGCAUUUUAUGUGUAUCCUACGUCUAGCUCAUGUUUUUCCCCUAUUAACUUGUAACUACAGUGCCUGCCUUACAGCUGCCCAGAAUCUAUUCUACCCAGUCAGCAGCUACAUCCCUGCUGGAAAGGAUGAAAGCACCGUCCAGCUAAUCAAGCCCUUGAAGAGGGCAGCAGCCUCUGUGGCUAUUAAAGAAGGUUACAGUAGGCUCAAACUGUUCAGAAGAGAAACACAAAUAACCCCUUAUGAGCUUAAAUAAGGCACAUUCAAAUGUGUUUAAUUGUGCGUGCCUGUCUGAAAAUCUGGCUCAUCUUUCUUCUUUCCAUUUUUCACUCAGAGGGUCACUAGUGCCUGAAAACACUGAUAUGCCAAGGAAGCCAGUUCCUCGUGGGAGCAUGACUCUGCUCCACACAGACAUUUUCCCUUCUGUCACUUGGCAUAAUUCAGUAUGUGACUUGAAAAUCCAAAAUAUAAACAAGAGAAAGGAACCAGGGCCAACAAUGUUCCAAGCAGAAUUCUGAAACCUUCCCAGUAAGUGAAAAAUACCUCUCCUCUAGAAAUACUACCCAUUUCUCCAUUGUUUUAAGCUUAAUCAGAACUAUUUCUUUGCAGGGCUUCAGAGGAAAUGGGGGCAAAAAUACCAUAGUCAAACAUACACGUAUUAGACUGUAAAAAACACUACUCAAUGCGAUACACAGCCAAGUUUCUCCCAUCUCAUAGUUCUCCUCUUCCUGUGAACUGCUUAUUUCUUUUCCGUUUCUUUCUCAGGAUCAUUUUCACCCAUAACUUUGUUGUUCUUUAACACCUUUUAAAUUUAGUUAUGAAAUACAGAAGUAUGUAUUUAAAUAUAUCUUUGUUCCUGCUGCUCUCGUCUCUGUUACAAAUGCAAGUUAAAAACCUUCAGUGUAUUCAUGCAUCAUUCUAAGGAGGAAAGAACUGGCCCCUAUACUGUUCUUUACUAGCUUCUGGUUGUUCCCAUGUCCCAGGAUGCAUCGCAGUUUUGCAGGUUUUUCCUGAAAAUUGAAAAAUUAUACACCUGAGCCAAACAAAUGGAAAAUACACCACAGGCACACACAGGCACCUUCUAUAAGCCAGAAUUGAGGUGUUACCCUGCCUUCAGUUCCAGUGAGUGCUGAGCCUCUCCCAGCAUGGCAGUGAGCAGCAGGAGGCAGUAAUGUUAAGGUAUCUGUGAAGUAGUUGCUUAAAUAAUGAUAUAUCUUCAUUCUCCAGGUGGAGCACCUGUUUUUUCUCUGGAAGGUGAAACCCGGAGCUUCGUUACUUAGGGUGACACUGACCUACAUGUGGAGAUUCUUUACUAACAGUUAUGGCAAUCUUCCUCAGCAAUCGCUUUGGUAAUUGCUCCACUAUCUCUUCACACAAGUUGCACUUUUGGUACUCACAAAAUCUCUCCAACAUCCAUUCAGAGCUGUUAAUGCUUUCAUGACAUGCUGCUAUCAAGGCAACCAAGUGAACAAGGAAGUGGUUGCAAAAGCUACUUGAUCCUUUGGCUCCUUCAGGUCCUUUGGCUCCUCCCUUAGUGCAGAGGAGCUCUUGUCUGUAGUUUUAUUAUGAAAAGUAUUCAAAAAAACUAAGACAAAGACACUAAAAUGCAAUUCUUCACUCACAGAGCUGCACCUGCAGCAUGGACCAUAUCCACGCAGUUCUGAAACAAUCCAGUGUUGCUGAUGGCUCAAGUGUCACUUCAGAGCCAGAUUUAGAAAGGUCAGGCUAGCACAGGUGUUUUAAUGGAGAUGGUUUCAUCUUUUUAAGUGUUUGAAUUUGAAGUUCAAACAUUUAAUCUUUCAAAUUAAGGAAAACUGAGAGUUCAUGGGAGUGUAGAGGGCAUGAUGCCUUUGUGAGAAUUAUUAAACUGAAUUAACAACAGUGAAAAUUUCUCAACUGGGAGGAAGAGAAGGGAGAAGAAUUCAAUGCAAGUUAAUACUCCUAGCUAAAGAGUUAAAAGAUCCAUUCUGUACUUUGUUGGUGAAAUUAUUUUGAGGAGAAAAAAAGAAAAUAUUUAUCAGUGUCUAAACAUGAUGCUGUAGUAAAUGAGUAGUUGUCAUUUCUUGUAAAAAAAAAUACAGUCUUAAUUUUAGUAUUUCCAGUGUUGUGGUCUUGCAUGGCUGUAGGCAAGUUGCUGGAAUGGUUAAUUCUCGCCUCUGCCAUUAUAAUGUACCUUAUUUCUAAUUUGAAUUAUGUCCAAUUUCAGCUUCCAGGCAUUCAUCCUGUCAUAAGUUGAUUAUUGUAAUAAAUAUUGUUAUUACCAAAUUUUACUCCUAUAUGCACUCAUUAACUGAAGAGCAGAGUCUGCAGUGCCCACAGGCUGUUCAAGCAGGGAUAAGCACCCUCUUUGCAACCUUCUCUUUUCUCUCCUGUGGUUUUCUCCAGCAUGUGGGAGAGGUGAAGGACUACAGGGUCUUGUGGAGAAGAGGUCACAGGGCCAGGCUUGUACUUCUAGGGGAUCAUAUUUGAACCUAAGGUCCCAAAGCAGCACAUACCCCUCAGAACAGGGCAGACACCCUGUCUUUAGCUGGCCCACACUCACAUGCACUUCAGAGAGACUGUAAGCUUCUUGUCAAUUGUGUUGUGUGGAAAAUAAUUCUACGGAGAAUUGACAUUUAUAAUAUACACAUGUAAACAACAACAUGCUGCAGGGGAGAGGGGGUCGCUUUUUUUUCCUCUACAUUAUGAUCUGUGCAAGGAAAAUGUUGUUGAGUUUAGGACUCCCACUCUCAGUAGUCAUCCCACCAAACCUGAAUUCAACAGUUCUCACAGACAUGUGGCAGGAUUAGAUACUUAUAUUCUUGGCUGUUAAUUAAUUUUACCACUAAUUCUAAUGUAUUUACAGGAGCCUCUGUUCCAUAAGAAAUUCUAAAUUUGGCCGAAGUCUGAGUUUUAUGCAAUUAAUGAUGGAAGUUUUUCAUAUGUGAGUAGAUUUCAGUGGUACGCAAGCUGUAUUGUGUACUGUACUUGAGUUAAAGCACUGUAAGCUAGAGAAAUUACAACUAUUUGUAGAGUUCAGUCUGUUGUGUAUAUUUCUAUGUUACUAAUGCAGGCUGUGUUGCUAGGUGCACAUUUCAAGCCAGCUAAGGAUUUACAACUUGCAGGUAUGUAAUGAUAUUGGCACUUACUCUUUGUUUACUUACAGAGAAAGUAACAAAUGCAAAACUUCAAUAAUAAUGAAACAACGGUAAAACAAACAUUGGGGAAGACAUUGAAAUACAAAUUUCUACUCCAAACAUUUGGACAACAUUGAAAUUAAUGAAAAAGUUGUCUUACGGAGCUAAGUCUAGAUCUAGGUCAGGCUAAGUUAACUAAGGACAGGAAGAUAUUGGCAAAUUCUUAGUCCCAGAUGAAAAACACAUUAGGUAAGUUUCUUUUACAUAGUCAAGUGUAAAGUCCAGCCACUGGUACCACUACCCCACUUACAGAACACCAAAAGUGCCCUCAAAAUGACUACAAUUUUUACAAUAAACUAGUGUUGCGUUUUUUUUCUUGAGUAUCACUUUUGUGUCUCACUGAGAACUGUCAGCUUGACCAACCCCAUUUCAUUUCUGGAAAAACUCAUUAUUUCAUUUCCAACAUCCCAGGACUGAGGAAAUCCAUUUCAGUAAGCACAGUCUGAAGGAGGUUCAUGGUGCAAGUGGUACAGUGACAUCACCACCACCACCUUGUCUCACAGCAGGUGAUGUCCAGCCACUUCCUGGGAAGUAGGGCUUCAGUAGGAGUGGCAGAUGCUCCAGAAGACAAAUGUCAUAAUGACAAGUGCCCCCCACCCCUCCUCCUUUCUCUUAGCUUUUGUUGCUGAGCAGACGCCACACAGUAUGGAAUACCCCUCUGGUCAGUUUGGGUCAGCUGUCCUGGCUGCAUCCCCUCUCAAGAUCUUACACACCCCCAGCCUAUAGUGACGGGGGGAAUGCUGAAGAGACAGGCCUGAUGCUGCGCCUGGACCACCCAGCAGUAGCCAGCACACUGGUGCGUUAUCAACAACUUUCCAGCUACCGAGACAGAGCACAGCCUGGGAGGGCUGCUGUGGGGAAAAUCAGCUCUACCUCAGCCAGACCCGAUACAGAACUAAAAACCAUCUUCUCCAGCCUUCCUGUGAUGGAGGCUAUGAUGAUCACAACCAUUUAAGACCUACCCUGGUUUCCAAGAAUGAUGAAUUUUCAUUGUCAUUGCCUUUACAGCAUUAAAUACAACACUACUAAAUUGUUAGCAACCAGACCUGCAUGAGAGCUUCAUGGGUUUAUUCAACUUAAGUGAAAUGAAAACCUAUUUUAUCAGGUCUUCUUACAUAAUGAACAAUGUCAGUGAAGCACAGCCUUGGCUUCUGUAUAGACCUCAUGUUGUUACCCCAAGUUUGCAUGGUAUUAAGAGCUACCACUGUUUAUAAAAUCCACAGAGGAGCAGAGUGGGCAAGUCAAGUCACUACAACAGAGGUCAGAAGGUGAUAGCCUCUCUCUGCCCCAUUCUCAGUUCAUGCCAUCUCCUUCAUAUCCAUGCCUCAGACUCACUGUUAAUGCUCUCCCCUCUGGCUUUUUAGGGACAAAAGCACUUAAAAACCUAACAAGAUUGCUUUAACAUCACCCAUGGUAAAAAGCCUCCAUCCAACUUUAUCUCAGGGCUACUUAGGAUCACAGUCUGGAGUUUUCUACCAACAGACUCUCUCUGAACAGGUUUCUGCUGCUUGUACUCAACCUGAACCACUUGCAGUUGAGCCACGCUCUGCGAUUAGAAAUGUUUUGCCACCUACUGAAGCUGUGUAGCAGUCACACAGGCACUGCCAUGUCUGCCGAGCUGCCUUAAGCUUCCAUCAAGCAGAUCCCACUUCAGGGUUCCCCAGCUGUAAGCUGCUAAACUGUGCAAAAUGGGCAACCCGUGACAUUUGCGAUGUGGCCUCAGAGGUGUGUGGUUGGGCAGGGGGAGAGAAAGCAGGGCCGAGCUCUGCGGCAUUUUACUGGGACAGUUUGUACUCCAGUAAAAUGACACGUGCAUACAGGUGCACAGUGUAAAGAUGUCUGAGGGCAGAGCUUGGCAGAAAUCCUUACUCAGGGACAAGAAGUUGAGCUAAGCACAAACUUGAGCCCCGCUUCCCCCACACACAGGCACAGCUGCCUGUGGGACUGGCACAAGCAGUUGCUUGUCUGUGCUUGCCUUCCACUGGUGCUCAUUAGCAAGGAAAACAAAGUUGGUUGAACAGAGCUGGCAGGAAUCCUACCACUGCGUUUGCUAAAUGGAUCUAUUAAAAUGUAAACAGAGAUCACAUUGCAGGGCAUCAUCAUAAAAUACCAUGGAUGACGUCUUGGCCAAUUCCCAAACAGUGCUGCUUCCUCCUCCAUCCCGUCACAUUUGGCACUGGCUGCCCCUAUGCUGCUGCUCCUCUUGCACAUCUUGUUUGCAGUUAUCUUGCCUUUUCCUCCCCUCCCUCCAAAGAGUUGCCCACUGGGUCCUGUGAAGGUUCAUCCUUAUCCACCCGUCGCCUGCAGCACGGUGCUUCAGUCUCACACCCCACAGAGGUAUCGCGACAUCACCGCACAUUUUGGAGCCAUGCAACCUCUCCGAGGCUUUCUGCUGUAGGAAGACAGGACUCUGGGGCCUCAGUCUCCCCUUGCUGUGCCUACAGAAGCCCCUGAGUUUGCAAUUUAGCCUUGAUGGGGCACAUGACAGGCCACACAGGUUUCACCUGUCUUACUCCUGCCUCACUGAUACACAUCUAGUAGGAGUUUCUAUCGCCUCUUUGACUUUCAAAUGAACGUUUUCCUGCUUUCUCCCCUGCUGCCACCCCUCAUUCUCCCAGAGGACUCUCAGAAAGCCACCACCAAACCAUGAGUUUGUUCUCUUUCAAGACUUCUUUAAAGCCAUGCACCCAUCUCCCUCCCUGCCACCCCUGUCUGCAAGAUCUUGACAAAAAUUGGUAAGAUGCUGGGGGAAGGUUAAGGUUUUCUGGUUUUACGACUGUGACUUGGCUAGCUGUUGUCUUCAUCUCUUUGUCCUUCCUUUUCUGUUCUUGUGUGGUUUAUUCCCUCCAGUACAUCAGCUGCAUGCUCCUUGUCUCUCCAUCCUCUGGGGUACUAGACCUCAACAGAGGCUUCAAAGCUUUAAAUUAACAAAAUAAUUACCUCUGCUGGUAACAUCAUAAACUCCAGAACAGGCCAAAGCAGCAGCAGUCUUGUGGUGCAGAGGAAAGCAGGAGUUCUCGGCUCCGAUCCAGUUCUGGCAGAGAUUUAUUAUGUGCAACUGGGGAGCUUUUUGCCUCACUUUCCCUGUCUGUAAAUGAAAAAGACAAUGUCCGCUCUGUUAGACACACUUAAACGACAAGCUCCCUGGCAGGACAAUUCACUGCUUAUCCAUACAGCACCAGGUACAGCAUGUACAGAGCUGUUUAUCUGUACAGGGAAGCUUUGGCCUCUGCUGGUACCUCCAGCCACGACCAACAAAAUGAGCAGGUAGGAACACAGGUUAGAAACCAGUUAGUGGCACUCAGGGAAGAGUUUCUUAGGGAAGCUAAAGAGAGAUGCUAUUUUGUAUCAUUCUCUACAAGCUGAUAUAUUAAUGAUCUUUAAGUCCAUUCUGCUCAUGGUACGUAUAAUAAUGAAACAAUCUUGACCAAAUAGAAUGCAUAUUACAGAUAUAAAAAAGUUGCACUUUUAGAAACCUAGAUUCUGCUUGGGUACUGAAGUUUAGAAGUUUUAAUUUCACUCCUUGAGUAAAACUAUGUAACAUACCUUUCAAGAGAAGCUGGUUUAUUUUAGUUGUACCGGAGAUAAUGGAAAAAAAACAAACAAAAAACAACAAACAAACAAAAACAACCACCAAAAAACAAACCCAACUUAAAUCCUGUCUGCAAUCUGGGAAAAAUAAUAUUUGAAUGACAGAGCACCAUUUUCUUCCAGAAGAUCAGCAAUAGUUUAUUAUUCUAAGGGUAUAUUUAGACUAUUGCACUUACGCAGUUGCUUUAAUAUCAACUAUAUUAAGAUCUUUCUGAUAGCUGAUCACAUUCAUAAGCAACUGAAGCUCCUCCAUGAUCCGUUACACCAGGUAGCUCUCAGACCACCGUUUCAGCAGGUGUGUGUACACAUGAGAUCCCUUCACAGACAGGUAACAAGGCAGGUGAGUGCAACACUGCACUUUCCACCCUUUUCAGUGUGCUGCAUGAAGCCACAUGGCCCAAAAUGUCAGCAAGCAAAACACUGCUUUUAGAGCACUCAGUAACAUUCCUGCAGUUUGGGGAUUAAAAACAUUGAUUUUAAAACUGUUUCCUGCUUCUUUGGUGCUGUCCCAGUGCUUGCGCUGGCGAGCUGGAAAUCAUCCUGGUAACUGUCAAGUUCAGCUUUGCCUAAAGAACAGAAAUAGUUUGAGAUCAGGAAGAGCAAGGCAGGGAACAAAUACAGAAGGUUCUCAGAGAUAUUCAAGAACUUCAGUAACUCUUCCUCUUUUGUAGUGAGAUGACCCCAGAUUGCAUAGUAAGUUAAACCAACUUUUAAAAAAUAGCAAAAAAGAAUGGAAAGAUGACACAAACACAGCAGUAACUGCUCUUCAUAUUUUCUGCUCCAGGCCAGUUCCAUGUGUAUGCUUUGUUCUCCUAUGCCUUGGAUUCCGACCCAGCAGAACACUCUGGUUUGCAUCUGCAUGAGCUGUCUAGGGCUAACUGUGGUCUUGAGGUUUUGUAGGAGGGUUCAUGAACAUGGUACACAUGGAAACCUGUGAUCGACAAGAAAAACCUGCAGCAUAGCUUAACUUGCCCAGCAGUGUGGAAAAAAACGUUAAGAACUUGAGGGUUUUUAUAUUUUGCAAACAGAAGGAAGUUCGUUUCCUCUGUUAGCUCACCAUAGCAUUAUGUGCAAAAACACGCCUGGAGCUCCUGAAAUACCUUUAUUUAUUUCUGCAUCUACCAAAUUUAUUUAUAGAGCCAUCUGGAAAACACUGGCUUUUCAUUUACAAGAUACUAUGGAGCUUUUCAGAAUUGCUUCAUAAACGAAACUCUUUAAAAACACCCACACCUACAGAAAUUGUCAACUAUAAUCAAGUCCUGGGACUUUUUAUUGAUGUAUUUAAGGAGUAUUGACAGGACAGUUAAAACAGCCAUAUUAAUGCAUAUAUAGGUAAUUCUCUAUGUGCUAACUUUACCAUGUUAAUCAAUCUAGUGAUCAGCAAAUGUGUCUAAUACAUUACACAUCCCUGUAAGAAACCACAAAUACUUCAGUUAUGUCUCAUUUGAAUGCAGUCUUGGGGCAUUUUCAAACAGUUUAAAAAUAAAUGGGAGCAAAUUCUUAAAUGAAAUAUAAUAAAGAUGCAGGCUUAGAACAUCUGGUGCAAAAGGUGAAAACUGGGAAACACAAGUGUCCUGGGUGGCAGAUGAAUGCAUAAAGGGAAGAGAAGGUCUCACUCACUGCACUUGCCACCGAGCUAGCUCAUAACAACCAAGAGUUACAGUUCACUCACUGUCUAGGCAUCCUGGCAAUAAACCACAACAGAAAUGUUAAAAUAAUAACACGAGUAAAAAUAAAUAAGGAUUUGGGCUUAUUUUAGCCAAGAUGUUUUAACAAAAUGCCACCAUUCAUUCCUUGGCAUGUGGUAAGAAGCCUGUGUGCUCCUAUUACAUUUCUUAAUUGCCUUCAUACUUUCUACUAUUUGCAACAGUUAGGACUCAAUAAAUUCAACCCAACUAUAAGAAUUAAUUCCAACAAUCAUUUAAUCUUCUUGUCACUCUAAUACCACACACAUAUAGAAGACCACCCAAGAUCUUCAUUAUUACCUUGUUGAUGGUUUGCCAUCCAGAGGUAUUCCUUCUGACCCACACAUUGUUAUAUGUCUUCAUUUACCCAUCAAGAUUGUUUUAUAAAAUGUUCAUCUCUUUCUAAUAAACUAGGUUGACUAGUACUAGAUUUUGGGGGAAGCACAAACACUAUCCUAGUUGAUCCAAGACACUGGUUUUCUUACUGGUAUUGUCUCUGCCAUACUGGCAUAAUGACAAGUAUAAUUGUUCCCUUCUUAGUUUUGUCAAAAAGAUCUAAUGUUGAACCAUGCAACUGCUUGACAUCUAAGGGCUCAUUGGUAGCAUAAUUGUUCCAUUUACAUGUUCAAGUAUACCAAGCAUACAUUUUUUAAAAGUGUAGCAUAGUAAAUGCAACUCUGUUUCUAUCUGUUCCUACUGCAAAUCUACAGCUACACAAACUUUAAAAAAAAAUACUGUGUGUCGGCAAGGAACAUCCCCAUUUCCCCUGACCUCUCAUUUAUCAAUCCUAAAUUGAGGCAGUUCACCAAGGUCAUUGUUAUAGUGAAGACUUGAGACUUCCUUCUUCAAAUGAAUCCCCUAAUUACUGUUAUAAAAUGUUACACUAUUCAUUCUCUAGAUGUCCAAGAAUUCUAAGACAACAUUUUGAGAUCUCCAUUUAUAAGUAAUAGUUCCCAUCCUAAAACACGUCAGACUCAAUUUCCUUCAAGAUGUGGCAAUCAGCUCACGUAUCAUUGAGUAUCCUCUGCAGCACGCUGGUGAGUAUUGCAGGCUUUGCAAUGCUGAAAUACCCAAGAAACAUCUUCAAUUGUUACCAGAUUCAAACACAGGAACGUAAUUCAGAGGCAUGUGCAGCUGGGUGGUUGCUGACAGAGCCAGAAUUUCCAGUCCAGGGUCCAUACUUCUUCCUCUCUUGCUUCUGAUAAGCAGAAACAAAAGCACCUAAAAUAAAGCAUUUUUCUCUAAAACAAGAGACAUGAAACUCUGAAUGCAAACUUUACAUCCAAUAGCACAGCAUAAAUGUUGGCGGGAAUAAUUACAGUUUAAGGAAGUGUUCCAAACACUUUAGUGGUUUACCUUUCUGCCUUUGUUCUUCAUAGAUCUGCAGCGCUGAAACCAAAGACAGAAAUCAGAACCACUGUACUUGAUGUAGAGGCAUUGCAGCCCCCAGAAGCCCCAGUAAAAGUUCACUGAGUCCCUUCAGCUACUUCAUCUGCUGUGUGUGUAUUCUGUAUUUUUUUAAUUUGGAUCUGAAGUAGCAAGUGUUGACAUACAUUGUACUCACAGGUACUCAACUCUGUUAGUAAUUAAGAAUUUCUAUAUUAAAAACAUCCAGAAUAGUGAACUGUGGGUCUGUGUGCUUCAGCUGCAGUCUAACACGCUUGUCAGGACCAGUAAUACCAAGUGUGCUGCCUGGGGUGUGACAGCCCCAUUGGUGAUCCACUCUGUCUUGGAGUUCCCUGGACCUUCUUUUUUUUCUCCACUGUUACUAUACUUCCUCAAUUAUGACUUUAAAUUAGUACUGAGAACUCUCCUGAACUCCUCCCAGCAUUUCUCAUUGCCAGUUCUGAGUUCCUGUGGCAACAGGCUGCUCAAGUACCACCUUUAUGGGAUAUUAGCAGCAUUGAAUCUUUAUUCAGACCAUGAGAGAAUAAGACUGAAAUUAAUACUGAACUGAAAAUGUAACAUGUUCCCAUAAAAAUACUGGUGCCAAGAUAGCAACAGGAGUACAUACAAUAAUAUUUUCUGACAUUCUGUAUUCAGAAAAGCAGAGAACUUUCAAAAUACAGAUUUCAACUUAUCUAAAGGCACGAGGAUGCACAAUUUGAAGAAAUGCAUGUCUUGAACCCAUGUAGGACAGAACACCAUGACAGCAAGCUGAGGCCAGGCCGGCAGCAGCAGUAACUGAAGUUACCCCCACCCCACUCCCAUCAGCCGAAAUACCUGUGCCAGUUUGCAAUCUGGUACAGAAAAGGGGAACAGAAGACAAGAAGUUGCCAGAUAUCCUCACAAUUGGUUGUUAGGCCAUCUGCAAAUAGUUCUGGUAAGCAACCAAGGAAAGGAGCACUGUAUAAUCACCUGACAGAGAGCUGUAAGUUCACAGAUCGAAUUGUUACCUUGCGUUGUCCUCACCACACUCACUUUUGCCUUCCUUUUUUCCACGGCAUGUGACAUCCCCAAGUCCACUGGCUCCUGCAGGGUAGAGGUAUCAGUUGUGGCCUGACCAGUGGCUCUCCUCACCACUGGCAGCCGUUAAGAAUAUCCAGCCCCCGUGACCAAACACCUUCUGCUUCUCUUGCACACUGCACUGCCAAAGUGUUCAUCUCAUGGACAAACUGGAACUGGCUUGAACUGUUGUUUACAUCUUGCAUAAUUUAAGGUCCCAUCCUGCUUCCAUCAAGCUCAAGAACAAGCAGUUACACGUAUUUCAAAGAUAGAGGGUCUGACUCCUUAUCUGAGAAGCUUCCCUCGACAGACACCCUGUUGACAGGGGCCAACCUCCCUUAUUUUCCCCUCUCUGCUUCCCACCCCCUACUUGGUGUAAUAAGAAGUGCAGAGUCCAGCAGUCUGUGCACAGGACAGGGGAGCGCAUGGGGGAAAGGGCAGGGCUCAGCCCCUCCAGAAAAGCAGGUAUCAAGAUACAACUCACUAUUACCCCCCCAAAAAAAGACCAAGCAGCCAAGUAAGAGAAGACCAUUUUGAGGGGAUGGAGAGAAGCAAUUCCAAAUGAGCAACGGCAAACACAGAUGACCUUUGUGAGGUGGGCCAAAAGCAUCCAUCUGUUUAGGAGUACAAAAGCUUUGCUGAAUAACUGACACGGCAACUAACUGCAUCCAUACGGAGCCCCCUUCCCCUUGGGCUGGCCCCCUCAGAGGGGAGGGCAAGGUGCCUUACCGCAAAGCACAAGAUGCAGCUAUGUGAGCGCGUAGGUGCCUGGCCUCUAACGCCUUUGAAAGCCUCUUUCUGCACCAAAACAUACUGCUUCACACAGUAGCAUGACCUAUAGAGCCCCGUAAGAUCACUAGCCAAGAGAAAGCUGCCAUUCAAAAACAUAGUUUGAAAGCUUGCACUUUCUAUUUAAAACGUUUUCUUAUAUCACCGUCUUUGCUAAUUAGGAUUUUAAUACAGAUAUGCCGUUAUGUCCGUUUAAACACACAUGCCAUAUACAAGCUGGCCACAAAAUAGCUUAUGGCUGACAACUGCCUAAAUAAAUUCCAUCUAGAAAUGAACUGACACCUUUAGAUUCAUCAAAGAAUUUUCACCACAAUCCCAAAGUGUGGGCCAAACCCUAUACUCUACUGAAAUAAUUGCUGGCAUCACCUACUGUCCUGGUUUUGACCAGGAUGGAGUUCACUUUCAUUGGAGUAUUAUAUACCGUGUGAUGUCAUGCCCAGGGAUUUAGGGGGGACUCUCUCCCCUCUCUCUGCUUCUCAGGCCGUGUUGUUGCUGUGAGGGGCGGUCACCACACUCAGUAAGCCACUGCUUCAUUUUAUCUGUUUUCUUUUUGGACUCACUAUUGGUACUGUUGUUCUCUUGCUUUAUUUAGUAAUUUCUUUCUUUUUAUUCAACCUACAAAUUCUCUUCUUUUGUCCCUCCCCUAUUUCACCGCAGGGGGAGGUGAAGGGCCAGCCAUGUGGUGUCUGGCUCUCGGCUGACUUCAAACCUCCACAGUUUUUAGCACCCAACUUGGGGCCCUGAGGUUUUUUUCUUUUUGUUUGAAAUAACAAGAUGGGUGAAAUGUGAAUUGCUUGGCUCCUUAGGAUCUUACCUCAUUUGCAACACGUGUUUCCCAUGCCAUUCCUCACCUGCCAGGAGAGCCGAGUUAACUAUGUGAUGCUCAUCUAUGACAGCGUGUGGUCAUCGGUCCUGAAGCUAUUUACAGUUGUGUUUGAGAAAUCUGGGGAGUUCAGAUAUCUUUGGAAUGUUGACAGAAACAUGUUUGCUGUGCUCUUAGAAGCUAGUGUUUUCCUGCACGUGGUUCAGGUUUUGUUUAUGGUUAAGCUACUAUUUAAGAGUAACCAAGUAACAGACACUGCAGCCACUACAAGGCUGAGGACGGGCGCUGCAGCUGAACCAGGCGCAUCAGGAGAACAUGAGGAGGCAGAGCCAGUGACAGUCACCCAGUCCUUGUCCUUGAGGGAGCUGCAAGACAUAAGAAAAGAUUUCAGCUGCCAGCCAGCUGAGCAACUCAUUACCUGGCUGCUGCGGUGCUGGGAUAGCAGGGCCAGUGGCAUGGAACUAGAGGGCAGGGAGGGGAGGCAGCUGGGAUCCCUGUCUAGGGAAGGGAGCAUUGACAAAGCCGUUGGAAAAGAGACACAAAAUCUUAAGUCUCUGGAAGUGAAUUCUGUCAAGUGUGAGGGAGAGGUAUCCAUCCCUUCAAGGAUAACUUGACAUGUUGACCAAGUAAGUGGAGCACUAUGGGAAGAGGCAUUCAAUAGCUGAGGGAGCUGGCUGUGCGGGGGGUAGUUUACCAUGACCCAGAUAAUGCACGGCCACCCACAGAUCCAGAUGAAGUCCGAUCCACCCGGCCCAUGUGGAGGGCUUUUGUACAGAGCACUCCCUCAUCAUAUGCCAGUGCAUUAGCACUAAUGGACUUGACAGAUGAAGAGGGACCAAAGUGGAUGAACUGGUUCGUCAACUAUGACAAUAUGAAGAAAGUGUCUCUUCCUCCAUCAUUGCGGCUGUGAAACAAUUAUCUCAAGAUGUCCAGUAAAUUAAAGAGAACUUGUCCUACACCCCACCUGCACAGACCAAAAUCUUUGCUAUAAGGAACAAUCAUUUCUCUACUCGAGAGAACCAGUACACACCACAAUGGAUACCACUGCUGCAUUUUUCUCCAUCCCUCUGGCAACAGAAUGCCAGCCACAGUUUGCUUUUACCUGGAGGGGUGUCCAACACACCUGGAACUGACUGCCCCAGGGGUGGAAACACAUCCCCACCAUUUGCCAUGGACUGACCCAGGCUGCACUUGAACAAGGUGAAGUCUCAGGGAGAUUUGAUUUUAGGUGAGAACAGCCAAUGAAACCGGACUGUCAAAUAACCCUGUUAUGGCAACUGGUGCCUUGCAACAUCCCCGUGCCACAUCCAAAGCCUCCUGGCUCCACUGACUGAGCCAACUCCACCUCAUUCCUCAGCCUUACAGACUGUCACAACAGAUGGAACCUGAAGUUAUGGACUACAUGAACUCAGCAAACAUUGUGGAAGGAUGGUCUAUAGACUGAGGGAAUGAUAUCUGUGAGACCUGGGCGGGGGGCGGGAAGGGGUGGCGAUUCCUUAAGAUAUAUUUGGAAACCUGAUAAUAACGUCAAUGGUAUGGAAUAAGGGGUGAAGACUGUCCUGGUUUCGACCAGGAUGGAGUUCACUUUCACUGGAGUAUUAUAUACCGUGUGAUGUCAUGCCCAGGGAUAUAGGGGGGACUCUCUCCCCUCUCUCUGCUCCUCGGGCCAUGUUGUUGCUGUGGGGGGCGGUCACCACGCUCAGUAAGUCACUGCCGCAUUUUAACCGUUUUCUUUUUGGACUCACUAUUGUUACUGUUGUUCUCUUGUUAUAUUUAGUAAGUUCUUUCUUUUUAUUCAACCUAUGAAUUCUCUUCUUUUUGUCCCUCCCCCACAUUACCAGAGGGGGGGAAGUGGAGGUGGCUGCCGGCUGAGUUCAAACCUCCACACCCACUGACUAUGGGAUGCCAUCCUGACAUCUCUUUUACUGCAACAAAAUGAAAUAGUAAAACAUUACUUCAGGAAAAGGCAACAAGCUCGUAUUCAAUAGGAGCACACCUUAAACAACCUUGGUGAGCAUGCAAGUGUUGGAUUUUACUUACAGAGAAAAAAAAGAAACAAAGAGGAAAUUUAGGAACGUGCCAAAUGCAAGUAAGUUUAUUUUCAUGUGUUUGCAGCAGGAUAAUCUCCUGCUGCUCAGAAAUAUUGUACAACAGGUUUACUAUCACCUCUGAAUAAAGAUGGACACUGUUUUCUGCACUGAGGUAGUCUAUCUGGAUUUUUGCUUUUCAUUUACUAGAAAAAAAUCUGAUACUGCUUCCGGAAUGAAAGCUUCCCCUGGGGUUAAACAAUUCACAUGGUGAUGAUUUCUGGAUGCCUGCUACUAGCACAUAGUUUCAGUUACAUAAGUUUUAUAAAGGUCAAAUAUGUUAACAAUGCUGGAGCCAACUUAGAGACAUCAAAACUAACCUAAGAGAUUACAUACAGUCAGACAUGUUAACCUGCCUAAUUUCAAGACAAUUAUUAUUUAUACGAUGACAUAUGUUUUCUGCCUGUGCUCUGUGGUCUCUAAAAUAGCAUUUGCAGUUUACAGAAGCAAGCAAUGCUAACUACUUGUUAACAUGUGGUUUCCAUCUAUGUUUAUUUUAUGGAUAUUAACCUGAAAUUAAGUCAACACAAAAGAAAAAGAAAAUAAUCAAGUAUUUUCAGAGGCAAUACAAGCCUGAGUCUCCUGAGAGCUGCUGUGCUUUUGCAGAAUUUUAAGAUAUGCACAUACAUUUUUCCCCUUCCAUUGCUACUGAUGUAUGUAAAAGGGAGAAAUCAACUUCCUGGAGAAAAAAAGCAUUUUAACUGUGAUGGAUAUUGAUUUGUUAUGUAUCAAAUUCAGAAGCAAGAUAACAGACACAAGUUGUGUACCUCAAACACUUCACUACCAGAGCUCCCCUCUCUGCUGCUUUAAUUCAGAGACAGUUGGCAGAGCACAGCAGAAUCUUGCUCAGUGGACACUUGAAAGCAGGCAGAGGGAACCAGAAGCUCCCUCGCUGUGCAUUUCUGUAUGUAGCACACAACACCAUCUUCAAGAAAUCAAGGCUUAGACAGACCCAGUGACCCUACUCCACCGAGUGUCAAGAUACCAGGAAAAGAGUGUAUAAACACACAAAAGCAGUGCAACAGGCCUCAGAAUCAUCCUUUAGUUCCCCACCCUCACAACUGGUACUGAACCAAGUCAUGUCUGUGAGGGCAUUACUGUAAAUUCAGAGGGAGCUGAAGCUUUUGGUCUAUCGGUUACAAAACUGAAUUCCACAGAAACAGGCAAUAGCUAGUCACCUGGGAGAAUAAAUCUUGAAAGGACACAUGAUCCAGGUGCGUCAUAGCCCUGACACUCACUGCCCGAGUUGUCUCAAAAUAGCACAAAGUAAUUUGAAAAGCAACAGAUAAAGAUGUUGGGCGUAACUUUAAUUUAACACAAGUAAUAAAAAAAAAAA